Molecule: transfer RNA, 73 nt
Filed under: Mus musculus (house mouse)
Lineage: Eukaryota; Metazoa; Chordata; Mammalia; Rodentia; Muridae
Description: tRNA-Asp
Source: RNAcentral
UGGGAUGUAGUUCUUUUGGUAGAAUGUGUAUCUAUCACGAAAAAGAUACUGGGUUCUAGUCCCAGAAUGUCAU